This 304-nucleotide ribosomal RNA is filed under the name uncultured bacterium. RNAcentral describes it as "partial 16S ribosomal RNA". It matches the Rfam family "Bacterial small subunit ribosomal RNA", at positions 506 to 807 of the family's 1533-position model. The record is from RNAcentral.
CAGCAGUCGCCACGGUAAAACGAAGGGGGCUAGCGUUGCUCGGAAUCACUGGGCGUAAAGGGUGCGUAGGCGGGUCUUUAAGUCAGGGGUGAAAUCCUGGAGCUCAACUCCAGAACUGCCUUUGAUACUGAAGAUCUUGAGUUCGGGAGAGGUGAGUGGAACUGCGAGUGUAGAGGUGAAAUUCGUAGAUAUUCGCAAGAACACCAGUGGCGAAGGCGGCUCACUGGCCCGAUACUGACGCUGAGGCACGAAAGCGUGGGGAGCAAACAGGAUUAGAUACCCCGGUAGUCCCUGUCUCUUAUAC